Molecule: ribosomal RNA, 462 nt
Filed under: uncultured bacterium
Lineage: Bacteria
Description: partial 16S ribosomal RNA
Rfam family: Bacterial small subunit ribosomal RNA
Source: RNAcentral
GAUGAACGCUGACAGAAUGCUUAACGCAUGCAAGUCUUUGGCGAAGCUGUGCUUGCACAGCCUAGCCAAGGCGGACGGGUGAGUAACGCGUAAGGAACUUGCCCUGCAGUCAGGGAUAACAGACGGAAACGACUGAUAAGACCUGGUAAAGUCAGGCGGACUCAUGUCCAGCCUGAUGAAAAGAGAUGCUGCAGGAGAGCCUUGCGUCCUAUUAGCUUGUUGGUGGGGUAACGGCCCACCAAGGCGAUGAUAGGUAGCCGGCCUGAGAGGGUGGACGGCCACAAGGGGACUGAGAUACGGCCCUUACUCCUACGGGAGGCAGCAGUGGGGAAUAUUGGACAAUGGGGGCAACCCUGAUCCAGCAAUUCUGUGUGCACGAUGAAGGUUUUCGGAUUGUAAAGUGCUUUCAGCAGGGAAGAAAAAAAUGACGGUACCUGCAGAAGAAGCGACGGCUAAAUACGU